GUGCUUAAUCCAUNCNAGUCGAACGAGAACGGAUUAUAGCUUGCUAUAAUUGUCAGCUAAGUGGCGCACGGGUGAGUAAUGUANAGGUAAUAUGCCUCUUACUAAGGGAUAACAAUUGGAAACGAUUGCUAAUACCUUAUAUUCCUUUUUAUCAAAAGAUAAAAAGGGAAAGAUUUAUUGGUAAGAGAUUAGCCUGUAUUGUAUCAGUUAGUUGGUGGGGUAAUGGCCUACCAAGACGAUGACGCAUAACUGGUUUGAGAGGAUGAUCAGUCACACUGGAACUGAGACACGGUCCAGACUCCUACGGGAGGCAGCAGUGGGGAAUAUUGCACAAUGGACGAAAGUCUGAUGCAGCAACGCCGCGUGGAGGAUGACACAUUUCGGUGCGUAAACUCCUUUUAUAUAAGAAGAUAAUGACGGUAUUAUAUGAAUAAGCACCGGCUAACUCCGUGCCAGCAGCCGCGGUAAUACGGAGGGUGCAAGCGUUACUCGGAAUCACUGGGCGUAAAGAGCGUGUAGGCGGAUUGAUAAGUUUGAAGUGAAAUCCUAUAGCUUAACUAUAGAACUGCUUUGAAAACUGUUAAUCUAGAAUGUGGGAGAGGUAGAUGGAAUUUCUGGUGUAGGGGUAAAAUCCGUAGAGAUCAGAAGGAAUACCGAUUGCGAAGGCGAUCUACUGGAACAAUAUUGACGCUGAGACGCGAAAGCGUGGGGAGCAAACAGGAUUAGAUACCCUGGUAGUCCACGCCCUAAACGAUGUACACUAGUUGUUGUGAGGCUCGACCUUGCAGUAAUGCAGUUAACACAUUAAGUGUACCGCCUGGGGAGUACGGUCGCAAGAUUAAAACUCAAAGGAAUAGACGGGGACCCGCACAAGCGGUGGAGCAUGUGGUUUAAUUCGACGAUACACGAAGAACCUUACCUGGACUUGACAUAGUAAGAAUGAUUUAGAGAUAGAUUAGUGUCUGCUUGCAGAAACUUGCAUACAGGUGCUGCACGGCUGUCGUCAGCUCGUGUCGUGAGAUGUUGGGUUAAGUCCCGCAACGAGCGCAACCCUCGUCCUUAGUUGCUAACAGUUCGGCUGAGAACUCUAAGGAGACUGCCUACGCAAGUAGGAGGAAGGUGAGGAUGACGUCAAGUCAUCAUGGCCCUUACGUCCAGGGCUACACACGUGCUACAAUGGG
This 1181-nucleotide ribosomal RNA is filed under the name Aliarcobacter butzleri. RNAcentral's name for it is "bacterial SSU rRNA". It matches the Rfam family "Bacterial small subunit ribosomal RNA", at positions 44 to 1234 of the family's 1533-position model. The record is from RNAcentral. Lineage: Bacteria; Pseudomonadati; Campylobacterota; Epsilonproteobacteria; Campylobacterales; Arcobacteraceae.